AUACGGAGGGUGCAAGCGUUACUCGGAAUCACUGGGCGUAAAGCGCGCGCAGGCGGCCAUUUAAGUUGGAUGUGAAAGCCUACGGCUCAACCGUAGAACUGCAUCCAAAACUAUUUGGCUAGAGUGUGGGAGGGGAAGAUGGAAUUAGUUGUGUAGGGGUAAAAUCCGUAGAGAUAACUAGGAAUACCAAAAGCGAAGGCAAUCUUCUGGAACAUUACUGACGCUGAGGCGCGAAAGCGUGGGGAGCAAACAGGAUUAGAAACCCCGGUAGUCC
Molecule: ribosomal RNA, 274 nt
Filed under: uncultured bacterium
Lineage: Bacteria
Description: partial 16S ribosomal RNA
Rfam family: Bacterial small subunit ribosomal RNA
Source: RNAcentral